This 1400-nucleotide long non-coding RNA is filed under the name Solanum tuberosum (potato). RNAcentral describes it as "long non-coding RNA (STUB_LNC007223)". Lineage: Eukaryota; Viridiplantae; Streptophyta; Magnoliopsida; Solanales; Solanaceae. The record is from RNAcentral.
AAAACGAAUAGUAAAUGACAUAACACAACCCAAAAUAAACUACUAAGCAGAAAUAGUUUCUAUCCGGUAACCCGCCCUAGACGACUCUUCAUGUCUUGAACUUUAUGUUCAACCCUGCUUAAAAAUAUACCAAAGGUGAAGACAAGAACAAUAAUUACGUAGAUAGAAACACAACAAUUAUUCAUAACAAACACAGAUUUCAGACAAGUCAUAAAACAUAUAAAAUCACAUACUGAGAAAGAAAGGAUAAAGAGACUAGUCCGGAUGCUUCCUUCUUAUUUAUUUCAAAUAAUGCAACAAUAUUAAAUAAUCCAAAACGACAAUUAAACUAAUGGAAAGCAACUAACCAAUUAGGCAGAAUAUUUUAUCAGCAAUGAAGUAUUUAGGAAGAUUUCCAAACCACAACAGCAACACAGCAAAAGCGCAAAGAAUGAUCCAAAGCUUUACUAGAAUUCUUAUUUUUUAGAGAAGAGAGUAUCUAAGGUAUAUGUCUAAAUCUGAGAGUGUGUCCACCCAUGAGUAUGAGAGUGUGUUCGUCCCAAAAGUAGUGCAAAGAGGGUCCUUUUAUAGUGAGGGGAGGGGUCAACAGUAAAGGAAAAUAAUUAUUUUAGGGGUCAAUAUAAUAUUUUCCCUUUUUCAAAGGAGCCAAUUAUAACAUGCUUUCCUUAAACAAAAGGAGUAUAAAAUCAGUCCAAUAUUUAUUUAUUAUUUUUACCAAAUAUGAACAAGUAAGAAAUCUGUCAACUUUUCACAUAAGGUAAGAAAUUGUUACCGCUAAUCAAUUAAUCAGUCAAUUUUCCUUCUCUACAAAAUCAAUUAAUCAAUCACUAAAUCAUGCAACUAAAAUAAGGUAGCGCAAUCAAUCAGCGAGAUAAGAGAAUUAUUCUUACUUUUUUGCAAAAUCAAUUCAAUGUACUUACCGUAUAUACCCGAGCAUAAUAGCAAAAGGAACAUACAUUAAUAGAUUUUCCUAUUCAAUCGAGAGGUUCAACAUUUAUAAUACCAAAGAAUUAGAUACAACAAAAUUAGGAGCAGACCAUUAUAGCAAUGCAAAAUAUAGCAAUGAAGGUGUAGAAUUUUCAUGGGCCAAAUCCGGGCAUGCUUUCAAACUAUAGUUAUAAUUUGAUCAUACAUAUAAAAAAAUUUAAGCAAAUGAAGAACAUAGAUUACAAAAAUCAGCAGCUCCACACAUAAAUUAGGAUAUUGAAAUACUAAGGAUGAAACAAUUAACGGACUAAUCAUGCACACUUUAUGUUUAAUGGCAAGCACAAAUAUUUGAGUUUUAAGAUAAGGAAAAUCGUACCUGGGACUGAUCUGUGAAGAUCAGUCCUUUAAAAAAAAUCAUUUUUAGUUCCGAAUCCGAACAUUGGCAUCGACAAGCCCUUUUUGUUGCUUCUUCG